UACGUAGGGGGGCUAGCGUUGUCCGGAAUCAUUGGGCGUAAAGCGCGUGUAGGCGGCCCGGUAAGUCCGCUGUGAAAGUCGGGGGCUCAACCCUCGGAUGCCGGUGGAUACUGUCGGGCUCGAGUACGGAAGAGGCGAGUGGAAUUCCUGGUGUAGCGGUGAAAUGCGCAGAUAUCAGGAGGAACACCGGUGGCGAAGGCGGGUCUCUGGGCCGAUACUGACGCUGAGGAGCGAAAGCAUGGGUAGCGAACAGG
Molecule: ribosomal RNA, 254 nt
Filed under: uncultured bacterium
Lineage: Bacteria
Description: partial 16S ribosomal RNA
Rfam family: Bacterial small subunit ribosomal RNA
Source: RNAcentral